UACGAACUGUGCGAACGUUAUUCGGAUUCACUGGGCUUAAAGGGUGCGUAGGCGGCCAAUCAAGUAGGGUGUGAAAUCCUCCGGCUCAACCGGAGAACGGCGCUCUAAACUGGAUGGCUGGAGUAAGUCAGGGGUGUGUGGAACUUCCGGUGGAGCGGUGAAAUGUGUUGAUAUCGGAAGGAACGCCGGUGGCGAAAGCGACACACUGGGGCUUAACUGACGCUGAGGCACGAAAGCCAGGGGAGCGAACGGG
This 253-nucleotide ribosomal RNA is filed under the name uncultured bacterium. Its description in RNAcentral is "partial 16S ribosomal RNA". It matches the Rfam family "Bacterial small subunit ribosomal RNA", at positions 524 to 776 of the family's 1533-position model. The record is from RNAcentral.